GGCGGCGUCUGUGUUCCUGUGGUUCACCUGACCUCCACCCACACACACACCUGCAGCUCAUCAGCAGCUGAUGAAGCUAAACAGGAUUUAAGGCCUUGCUGGAGUGCUGUUCCUCGCUGGAGCAUUAUGCUCACCUGUACCUCCGUGGACCUGCGCCUGUUUUCCCUGGACCCGACCUGAAAGAGUGUGAGUGAGUGUGGUCACGGUGUUGGAUUGGACUGCCCCGGACCUUCCCUUGGAACCUUGGACCCCUUUUUCCCUAUCAAUAUCACUGGUGUGUAAAUAAACCUCUGUUUGAGUGCA
This is a long non-coding RNA of Oreochromis niloticus (Nile tilapia), 303 nucleotides long. RefSeq lists it as uncharacterized. The transcript has 2 exons. Lineage: Eukaryota; Metazoa; Chordata; Actinopteri; Cichliformes; Cichlidae. The record is from RefSeq and is a predicted model, not a curated record.